UACAGAGGGUGCGAGCGUUGUCCGGAAUUAUUGGGCGUAAAGAGCUCGUAGGCGGUCUGUUGCGUCGGCUGUGAAAACCCGAGGCUCAACCUCGGGCCUGCAGCCGAUACGGGCAGACUAGAGUUCGGCAGGGGAGACUGGAAUUCCUGGUGUAGCGGUGAAAUGCGCAGAUAUCGGGAGGAACACCGGUGGCGAAGGCGGGUCUCUGGGCCGAUACUGACGCUGAGGAGCCAAAGCGUGGGGAGCGAACAGG
This 253-nucleotide ribosomal RNA is filed under the name uncultured bacterium. RNAcentral describes it as "partial 16S ribosomal RNA". It matches the Rfam family "Bacterial small subunit ribosomal RNA", at positions 524 to 776 of the family's 1533-position model. The record is from RNAcentral.